CGAAAGACGGGUGAGAAUCCCGUCCACCGAUUGACUAAGGUUUCCAGAGGAAGGCUCGUCCGCUCUGGGUUAGUCGGGUCCUAAGCUGAGGCCGACAGGCGUAGGCGAUGGAUAACAGGUUGAUAUUCCUGUACCACCUAUAAUCGUUUUAAUCGAUGGGGGGACGCAGUAGGAUAGGCGAAGCGUGCGAUUGGAUUGCACGUCUAAGCAGUAAGGCUGAGUAUUAGGCAAAUCCGGUACUCGUUAAGGCUGA
This 253-nucleotide ribosomal RNA is filed under the name Staphylococcus aureus. RNAcentral describes it as "partial 23S ribosomal RNA". It matches the Rfam family "Bacterial large subunit ribosomal RNA", at positions 1310 to 1559 of the family's 2925-position model. Lineage: Bacteria; Bacillati; Bacillota; Bacilli; Caryophanales; Staphylococcaceae. The record is from RNAcentral.